Molecule: small nuclear RNA, 197 nt
Filed under: Solanum pimpinellifolium
Lineage: Eukaryota; Viridiplantae; Streptophyta; Magnoliopsida; Solanales; Solanaceae
Description: u2-7 snRNA
Rfam family: U2 spliceosomal RNA
About the family: U2 is a small nuclear RNA (snRNA) component of the spliceosome (involved in pre-mRNA splicing). Complementary binding between U2 snRNA (in an area lying towards the 5' end but 3' to hairpin I) and the branchpoint sequence (BPS) of the intron results the bulging out of an unpaired adenosine, on the BPS, which initiates a nucleophilic attack at the intronic 5' splice site, thus starting the first of two transesterification reactions that mediate splicing.
Source: RNAcentral
CAUACCUUUCUCGGCCUUUUGGCUAAGAUCAAGUGUAGUAUCUGUUCUUAUCAGUUUAAUAUCUGAUAUGUGAGUCAUCGACUCACACGAUAUUAACUCUAUUUUUUUAGGGGGAAGGUUCACCACGAUAGCUUGCUAUCGGGACCUUCAAGAGUCGCCUUGGUGUUGCAUUAUUGCCUAGGCCUGGCUCACCCCAC